Molecule: long non-coding RNA, 1487 nt
Organism: Schistocerca americana (American grasshopper)
Lineage: Eukaryota; Metazoa; Arthropoda; Insecta; Orthoptera; Acrididae
Exons: 2
Source: RefSeq, a predicted model, not a curated record
GAUGAGUAAGCAGAGAUGCACAUAUGGGCACCCCCUAAAUUUUGUGAUUUUGGCUUAGUGUACACCUGAUUUUUUAACCUUCCCCACAGGAUGCAAAUGUAGCACAAUGGUGGAAUGAUCACAGUUAACUGUGUUUGCAAGCUCAUGUACACUGACAUGCAUCAUUGAUGGUUAAUGGAUUUAAACUACUUUCAUAAUACCCUGUAGAUGUUCCUAAAUGUGGAGAGUCACACAUAUGAAAAAGAUCCUCUUUAAAACAGGAAAACUGUUUUCUUGUCAUUCUCUAAUCAGUGGCAUUGUUCUCAUACAUGACUCAAACGUUUCUGGCCACCUCUGCUAUCACACAUCUAUUGAACUGAAACAGAAGAAUAUGUCUGAAAUGUUCCCAUUUCCCCACUUGGCACCCUUAUUUUCUAGCACCUCCACAGCUCCACGCACUACCUCCAAAUGACAGAAAGGCAAUAUGUAAACUCAAACAAUGGAAUCUUCAGGUAGGAAUAUCAAAAAUUUAGAAAAACAUAGAUAGUUAUUACCAUAAAAUGGGGUCAAACCUAACAAUAGUAACUUGUACCUACAACUAACAAAACAAAACUGUCCACAUGCCUUGAUAAGUAUGGAUAAGUUUUGACUGUGUACAAUUCACAGCAGUGGAAAUGGGACACUCACUGGAAAUGAUGGCAGUGCAACAAGUAACAGACUUCUUCAACUGUGUUUGUUCACUUCUUGCUCUAACAAUUUUACUUACAGACUUUUUGAAUUUUCUGUGAUUGCCGAUAACUACCACAUAUUGUUUUAUAUACAUACUAUAACACUUACUUUUAUUUGUUGUAUCUGCCAUGAACUUACAAAUAAGAGCAGAGAUGUAUAGUUAUGUAGUAGCUGCAUGGCAGUGCUUGAGGAUACGGGUUUCCACAGAAGUAAUUAAUGGUCAUGUUCCUUUGUAACUACUUUUUCCACUGAAUUGUAUUUUGAUAUGUUGCAAGUGUCAACACGAAUAUAGUCGAGGUAUGCUGAACAUGAUAAAACACUGCACUGCAGACUAGUAUGUGACAGUUAUUCACAGCCAGGAUGUCUCAGCAUAUGCAAGCCAAGAGAGUUGGCAUCCUGGCACUUAUCCAGUACGAUGUCACACGGAUGAUGAUGAUGAUGAGUUGUAUUUCCAGAGGCCUGACCACCUCUGUGGCUCUCCAGAUGCAGCAGCAUAACCAAAAGGGCCGACACGAAGAUGAAGAAUGGAAGAGCAGAGAAGGUUGUGAGACGAAAUCAUCCAACAACUUGCUACCGACUGGGACUACACCAUGGCAGGAGCGGCCUCUUCAAGAAGAGCCUCGGCCACACAGUAGUAGACUGGCACUACCGGAACAGUUAUUAGUGUUCCAUACCCAUUGCUUACAUGGACAAUGCAUGUGACAAUCCACUGUAAAUACCAAGUUUGGUAUUGUGAAUUUUCUUUAUUGCAAUAAAACCAUUCAUGUGAUUUGCUUGAA